Molecule: long non-coding RNA, 4603 nt
Organism: Oncorhynchus tshawytscha (Chinook salmon)
Lineage: Eukaryota; Metazoa; Chordata; Actinopteri; Salmoniformes; Salmonidae
Source: Ensembl
UGUCUAACAAUGAAAGUGGAGUAUCUGCAUGUAAGUGGAGCUCUUGGACUCUCACUAAGGAGUCCAACUGACCAGUCAUUUAAUUUCCACCUCUCAUUAGACUUCUAUUCUUAGAUCUGUGGGGGUCCGUCCCUGUAAAAGUUCAGGGGGCUUGAGGAGGACCAGACGGGGCUACCAUCUCAGCCUGGCCCAGUUCUUCCAGAGGCAGGGCAGGGAGCUCUGUAGCUGGCCUCAGAUCCUGGAGGAGCUCCCCUGGCACCUGGAGCAGAGUGAGGCCUGGAGGGAGCUACACACCUUCUUCAUAGAUCCACAGUAAGAGCAUGGAUAUACACUUCACACAUAAGGACACUAGGGGCACACAGUUACUGUUGGGUAAAAUAGUUUAGCCGCAGAUGAACUGUCAUCAUAUAUUUAACCUAACACUUAAACUGGGUGAGCCUUUAUAUCGGUUUACAGAUUCGCAUGUUUAACCAUCAUUUGUUUACAUAACGGUAUCCACUUACUAUCUGACCCGAGAACUGUAGAGCACCUGUUUAUAACUUGGAGACAGUCUCCUCAGCUGAGAAUGGAUGUUGUCCGGUACUGGACUCUCCUGAUCCUCAGAGGUUAUGACCCCUACACCUCGUACCAGAGCCUGCUGGGUAAGGGAAUCCACCCUCGUUCUCUUGUCCAAUCAGGGCGAUGAGCAUUCCCUCCUGCUACAUAUACAGGUAAAUGCAUCAUGGUUACACAUCUCAACACGCAUUCAGCGUUGAAUGUCACAAAACUGUAGAGAUAGCAUCAUUAAAUAAUGUAGCUAUUAUCUCCAUUCAAACCAGAGCAGAGAGAGGUACACAGCAACAGGGCCUUCAUGACUGAGGCCCAAAGUGACGGCAACGGUUAUUAUUCUUCACUGAUAACAAAUUGACUAUUGACGAUGUCUUUAGUGAUCUGUUACCAGUCAUCAUCAGUGAUCCUAUGUGACCAGUGAUUAUGACUGUUUUUGGUUUUUGUUCCCCACCUGUAGAAGAUGGUUGUCAGUAGGAUCCAGGUGUGAAAGGGAGAGUGGAGGUGUUGGUCUCUGAGUUGUUGCUCUGUCUGAACAGGAAGGGAGGAAGCAGAGCAGAUCCCACUGCAGGCUGAGAACAACCUCACACAGGCUGGUGAGCAGGACAGAAACAGGGAGAGUGUGAUGUUACUGCUGACAGCGCGGCAGACUUUGGCUGAGCUCUAUGGAGACGGACCAGCACAGAGAGGCAGAGACGUACUGUAGAUCAGCUCUGGAGACCGCCCAGACUCACACCGCUACCUGCCUUGAGAGACAUGAGAGAAUCACUGUUGGAAAGGGUCAGUUGCUUUGUGUACUCUGCCAGCUUGCUGUUUGUAGACGUCCGAACCAUCGAGGCCUCUCAGAUACUCAAUGGCAUCAUCAAUAUGGGACACCACAAACUCCACCUGUGUACUGACACCACUGUAUCACUGCUCUGUGGGAUACACAGACUCAGCCUGCAAGACCCACAUGGUGCUGAGAAGCACCUCCAGGUUGCCUUGGAAGACCAGGAGGCGCUGGUAUGGUAGAGAGCACCCUCUAGUGGUGGAGGAGUGCCUGGCAGACAUCUUGGCCCGACACCUGCGCUGACACAGCAGGUGUGGUGAAGAUGUGACGUGUUGAGGCAGAGGCUAGCAGUGGAGCUGUAUCGACACACGGUGCACGUCAAAGACCAGAACAUGAAGCUUUGUCCCCCCGCAUCGCCAUGUCUUCAGGCGAAGGGAUGCAGCCUCGCACGCACCUUGGUCAAACUUGGCAGGCAGAUAUGUCAUGGCUCCGGUAAUACAGAGAGUAGAGAGGCUGUUGAACUGCUGCAGAGAGCUCUGGACCUGUACAUCUGCUUCCUGGGGUCUGAUCACACACUGACCAGAGACUUACAACAGGUUUUAAACACAGAAUCCAGGAGACCUCUGACCACUUGGGUCUUCAGUUCCAGAACCCUCUCCCACCUCUCCACUAGGAGACUAAGCAGUGGGACCAGACCCAACACAGCCGCACCCCUCCACUCCCACCUGGCCUGGUACCGGGGCACCACACACACCCCUCUGGACCUCUCCGGAAAGAGAUUCCUGUCAGCCCCAUCCAACAAGUUCCGCAAUACACAGCCAGAACUGAAACCAGAACUGUGGAAUACCUGAACUACAUCAACAGACAGAACCAACUGUCUUCUUCUCCCAGGCCCUGGUCUGCCUUCCAGACCACAGUGUUUGGGCCACAGAGUGACAUCAGAAACCUGAUCUCAAACCCAGUCCUUCUUCAGCACCGGGCUUUCAUUCCAUAGACAGGACCCAAGUGCUGCAUAGGGCAGGCUGGUGCCACCUACCAGGCAGGUACGUUCUGGAGGAACGGACAGUAACAGCUUUGAACAGAGAGAUUGGAUCCCCUUUGCACACACAGAGAUGCACACCGCUGGUCAGACAGACAGGCCAGGGACAGGGAGGAGAACAGAGCUGGUCAGACAGACAGGUCAGGAACAGGGAGGAGAACAGAACUGGUCAGACAGACAGGCCAGGGACAGGGAGGAGAACAGAGCUGGUCAGACAGACAGGCCAGGGACAGGGAGGAGAACAGAGCUGGUCAGACAGACAGGCCAGGGACAGGGAGGAGAACAGAGCUGGAGAGACAGACAGGCCAGGGACAGGGAGGAGAACAGAGCUGGAGAGACAGACAGGCCAGGGACAUGGAGGAGAACAGAGCUGGAGAGACAGACAGGUCAGGGACAGGGAGGAGAACAGAGCUGGAGAGACAGACAGGUCAGGGACAGGGAGGAGAACAGAGCUGGAGAGACAGACAGGUCAGGGACAGGGAGGAGAACAGAGCUGGAGAGACAGUGUCUUAUUCUGCCAGGAGGCACUAGAGAGAAGAGAAAGAUCUAGAGAAGACUGCUCUCAUGGUGACCACUGAACUAUUUGAGUGUUUAUUCUUUUACCACUUUUGAUACCAAUCAGCUGUUUUUAUUUUUUCCAUAUAAUUUCAAAUAGAAUUGUUGCAUGUUUACAUGGAGUGAAAUGGCCCCUAUUUUGUACAGAAACUAAAUGAUUUGACUUCAUGUUGUCAAAUGAAUCGACCCUUUUUAGUUUUCUGUAGGGUUGCAUCUAAAUAUUGUUUUAAUGUUUUGUAAGAUGGUUAAGCUCCUCAUCCUGGUGUGCAACAACAUUGACCUUUUAUCUCAGAAGGCAAUACUUAUAGUAUUUCUAGUCAAGUGAGUGAUGUAAUCAACCAUUGUAAGCACUAGUAAACGAUGUGACCGAAAGCAUGAAUUGAGCAACAUGCUACAGAUGCUGUGAAGUAGGACUAAGCCAGUUUGGACCUUACCAUGUAAUGUAGAGUUUGGGUCAUACGUUCAAAGGUCUGUAUGUUUGUAUAUAUAUAUAUAUAUGUGUGUGUGUGUGUCUAUGUUUGUGUAGAAUUGAGUGUGUGUGUGUGUCACAGGAGGUUGGUGUCACCUUAAUUGGUGGAGGACGGGAUCGUGGUGGUGGCUGAAGCGGAAUUAGUGGAAUGGUAUCAAAUACAUCAAUACGGCCGGAAUGGUUCAUGCUGCGGGCGGGCAGUGGGUGGUCAGACGACUUCAGGAUGAAAAUGUUGUUUUAGUCCAGCCAGCAGAGGCUCAUGUUACACAGCCGGCUUGCGCACCUGCUUCUAACAGUGGUGGCAAAAACAAUGAUCCGAUGUGAUUGUGUUUGUGGCCAUUUAUGUGAUGAAUGAUAACAUGAUCAAAUCCUAUAGGAGUCCAAUAAGACUGGUUCCAAAAUCGGAUAGGAUUUGUAUAUUAGUAUCUUGUAUUGGAAUCCUAUAGGAUAGAAUGGUAAAGAGUCCAAUAGGACUGGUUCCAAAAUCGGAUAGGAUUUGUAUAUUAGUAUCUUGUAUUGGAAUCCUAUAGGAUAGAAUGGUAAAGAGUCCAAUAGGACUGGUACCAAAAUCGGAUAGGAUUUGUAUAUUAGUAUCUUGUAUUGGAAUCCUAUAGGAUAGAAUGGUAAAGAGUCCAAUAGGACUGGUACCAAAAUCGGAUAGGAUUGUUCUGUUGGUUUGUUGUAGAUUAAAUCCUAUAGGAUAUAAUCCCAUAGGAGUCCAAUAGGACUAGUUCCAAAAUCUGAGAGGAUUUUUCUGUUGGUCAUACUGCAAAUGAACUUGCAACCUUGAAUCCCUCCCAUGUUGUGGUGGUGUGUUGAAUAGGUUGAGAGGUGUGAGUACGUAAAUUUAUGGAGAUUGCGCUCCGGUUAAAGGCUUUCCUACACUGUACGUCAGAUUGUCUAUUACGAUUAUUACAUGUCACACUGUGUGAUGUUACCAAAUUAAAAUCAUAAUAUCAACUUGGCCAGAUUGUACGAUUUGCUUCAGUUCUGUCGAGAAAGUCUGCGAUGGCUAAAAUUGCAGAAAGGCUAUGACAAUGUUCUGCCAGUAUGAGUGUUUGGCUGAAAAUCUCCCUCCUGACAGAAUUCUCCUCCACGCACGUACUCAAUUCUUCAUUGCUGAGACUUCCUUGCUAGUUGAGAUUUCACUAGUAAUGUCUGCAGUUUUCGGGUUUGGCUAUUUGUUUCAAGUGUAUUAAUCUAAAAAUAAAUCUCUUUGCCAAAA